This 454-nucleotide ribosomal RNA is filed under the name uncultured Deinococcota bacterium. Its description in RNAcentral is "bacterial SSU rRNA". It matches the Rfam family "Bacterial small subunit ribosomal RNA", at positions 930 to 1382 of the family's 1533-position model. Lineage: Bacteria; Thermotogati; Deinococcota. The record is from RNAcentral.
CGGUGGAGUAUGUGGUUUAAUUCGAUGCAACGCGAAGAACCUUACCAGGGCUUGACAUCCCGGGAACCUGCCUGAAAGGUGGGGUGCCCGCAAGGGAGCCCGGAGACAGGUGGUGCAUGGCUGUCGUCAGCUCGUGUCGUGAGAUGUUGGAUUAAGUUCCGCAACGAGCGCAACCCUCGUUGCCUGUUGCCAGCACGUGAUGGUGGGCACUCAGGCGAGACUGCCGCAGCAAUGUGGAGGAAGGUGGGGAUGACGUCAAGUCAGCAUGCCCCGUACGCCCUGGGCUACACACAUACUACAAUGCGAGGAGCAAACAGUUGCGAACCCGCGAGGGGGAGCUAAUCUGAGAAGGCCUCGCUCAGUGCAGAUUGCAGGCUGCAACUCGCCUGCAUGAAGGCGGAAUCGCUAGUAACCGUCGGUCAGCAUUACGACGGUGAAUACGUUCCCGGGCCUU